AGAGGCUGUGGUUCAGUGAUUGAGCCUCUGCUUAAUAUGUAGAAGGUCCCAGGUUCCAUCCCAGGUAUCUCCA
This 73-nucleotide transfer RNA is filed under the name Sphaerodactylus townsendi. RNAcentral's name for it is "tRNA-Ile". Lineage: Eukaryota; Metazoa; Chordata; Lepidosauria; Squamata; Sphaerodactylidae. The record is from RNAcentral.